UAGUCCUUGAUGGUGGCACUAAUUUCUGGU
Molecule: non-coding RNA, 30 nt
Filed under: Mus musculus (house mouse)
Lineage: Eukaryota; Metazoa; Chordata; Mammalia; Rodentia; Muridae
Source: RNAcentral